RNAcentral lists this ribosomal RNA (1489 nucleotides) under Lactiplantibacillus plantarum. RNAcentral describes it as "bacterial SSU rRNA". It matches the Rfam family "Bacterial small subunit ribosomal RNA". The record is from RNAcentral. Lineage: Bacteria; Bacillati; Bacillota; Bacilli; Lactobacillales; Lactobacillaceae.
GACGAACGCUGGCGGCGUGCCUAAUACAUGCAAGUCGAACGAACUCUGGUAUUGAUUGGUGCUUGCAUCAUGAUUUACAUUUGAGUGAGUGGCGAACUGGUGAGUAACACGUGGGAAACCUGCCCAGAAGCGGGGGAUAACACCUGGAAACAGAUGCUAAUACCGCAUAACAACUUGGACCGCAUGGUCCGAGUUUGAAAGAUGGCUUCGGCUAUCACUUUUGGAUGGUCCCGCGGCGUAUUAGCUAGAUGGUGGGGUAACGGCUCACCAUGGCAAUGAUACGUAGCCGACCUGAGAGGGUAAUCGGCCACAUUGGGACUGAGACACGGCCCAAACUCCUACGGGAGGCAGCAGUAGGGAAUCUUCCACAAUGGACGAAAGUCUGAUGGAGCAACGCCGCGUGAGUGAAGAAGGGUUUCGGCUCGUAAAACUCUGUUGUUAAAGAAGAACAUAUCUGAGAGUAACUGUUCAGGUAUUGACGGUAUUUAACCAGAAAGCCACGGCUAACUACGUGCCAGCAGCCGCGGUAAUACGUAGGUGGCAAGCGUUGUCCGGAUUUAUUGGGCGUAAAGCGAGCGCAGGCGGUUUUUUAAGUCUGAUGUGAAAGCCUUCGGCUCAACCGAAGAAGUGCAUCGGAAACUGGGAAACUUGAGUGCAGAAGAGGACAGUGGAACUCCAUGUGUAGCGGUGAAAUGCGUAGAUAUAUGGAAGAACACCAGUGGCGAAGGCGGCUGUCUGGUCUGUAACUGACGCUGAGGCUCGAAAGUAUGGGUAGCAAACAGGAUUAGAUACCCUGGUAGUCCAUACCGUAAACGAUGAAUGCUAAGUGUUGGAGGGUUUCCGCCCUUCAGUGCUGCAGCUAACGCAUUAAGCACUCCGCCUGGGGAGUACGGCCGCAAGGCUGAAACUCAAAGGAAUUGACGGGGGCCCGCACAAGCGGUGGAGCAUGUGGUUUAAUUCGAAGCUACGCGAAGAACCUUACCAGGUCUUGACAUACUAUGCAAAUCUAAGAGAUUAGACGUUCCCUUCGGGGACAUGGAUACAGGUGGUGCAUGGUUGUCGUCAGCUCGUGUCGUGAGAUGUUGGGUUAAGUCCCGCAACGAGCGCAACCCUUAUUAUCAGUUGCCAGCAUUAAGUUGGGCACUCUGGUGAGACUGCCGGUGACAAACCGGAGGAAGGUGGGGAUGACGUCAAAUCAUCAUGCCCCUUAUGACCUGGGCUACACACGUGCUACAAUGGAUGGUACAACGAGUUGCGAACUCGCGAGAGUAAGCUAAUCUCUUAAAGCCAUUCUCAGUUCGGAUUGUAGGCUGCAACUCGCCUACAUGAAGUCGGAAUCGCUAGUAAUCGCGGAUCAGCAUGCCGCGGUGAAUACGUUCCCGGGCCUUGUACACACCGCCCGUCACACCAUGAGAGUUUGUAACACCCAAAGUCGGUGGGGUAACCUUUUAGGAACCAGCCGCCUAAGGUGGGACAGAUGAUUAGGGUG